This 492-nucleotide ribosomal RNA is filed under the name uncultured bacterium. RNAcentral describes it as "partial 16S ribosomal RNA". It matches the Rfam family "Bacterial small subunit ribosomal RNA", at positions 29 to 507 of the family's 1533-position model. The record is from RNAcentral.
AGUGAACGCUGGCGGUAGGCCUAACACAUGCAAGUCGAACGGCAGCACAGUAAGAGCUUGCUCUUACGGGUGGCGAGUGGCGGACGGGUGAGGAAUACAUCGGAAUCUACUUUUUCGUGGGGGAUAACGUAGGGAAACUUACGCUAAUACCGCAUACGACCUACGGGUGAAAGCAGGGGAUCUUCGGACCUUGCGGGAUUGAAUGAGCCGAUGUCGGAUUAGCUAGUUGGCGGGGUAAAGGCCCACCAAGGCGACGAUCCGUAGCUGGUCUGAGAGGAUGGUCGGCCACAUGGGAACUGAGACAGGGUCCAGACUCCUACGGGAGGCAGCAGUGGGGAAUAUUGGACAAUGGGCGCAAGCCUGAUCCAGCCAUACCGCGUGGGUGAAGAAGGCCUUCGGGUUGUAAAGCCCUUUUGUUGGGAAAGAAAAGCAGCAGGUUAAUACCCCGCUGUUCUGACGGUACCCAAAGAAUAAGCACCGGCUAACUUCGUG